AUACAUGAAUUAAGACACAGGACCUGAUGAAUCAAUUCAGCAUUUUUUUACAGCUUAAUCACGGUGAACUCAUUAGCGCAAUCAACAACAUGCAUCAUGAAAAAAAAUUCUCAAAGGUACGUAUACAAUUAACGUAUAUUCCAUACAGAGAGAGAGAGAGAUGGAUUUUGUUUACUAAUAUUUUGAACUUAAACAUCAUUCGCAUCGCUUAACAAAUCCCAGUCUUUCAUCUGAAAGGAAAUUCAAACCGUAUGAGUCUUCUUGACAGUAAUUUUAAAUAUCUCUUACUGUUUCCUCAAUGCACAUAUGCGCUGCAGAUGGUGAUAUUCAUGACCAGCAGUUACUCUUCAACAAUGUUCAAAGAUCUUGGCUGUAAUGUAGAUGGUAAGGGGAAAAAAACUAACAGCCAUGCCUUAUUAUAAUCAGAGUUGAGCUCACACUAGAUUUUAUUUGAAAGAAUUGUGCCCAUAAUCCAUUUUCCAAUAAUUAAAUAAAUAAAUAAAAAGUUUCUGAUGUGCUCUGAAUCUUAUGCAUUGACUGCAUGUGACAAAAAUAUCCAGAGCACUCCCAGUGAUUACGAUGAAACCAGAAAAAUCUACCGCUCUGAUAAAUUCUCAUCUGCUUGGUUAAAGUUCAUUAAUGAGGCUGACUUUAAUAAAGAAACAUUCCAAGGUUUGAUAGCUGAUAAACAAGCUCAUUACCUUGAACAAAAUCCCGGUACCAUCCCCUGUCUCUGCCCUUGCCAGUUUGGGAACAUGGUAUUAAAAAUUUACAACUUUACACAUUAUUUUAUUAUUUUCAUAAGAGGACAUGAACACAUAUAUAACUCUUUUCACAAGGUCCAUGAAUGUUGUUCUUUUCUAAACUCUUUUGUUGAUUUUUUAUUUCUUUAGGAAAUCCGUCACUGUCACCUCAGUGAGUUUCUGCAAAAAUGAACACCCUCCAAGCCGAUCAGGAAAACAUCUUUCUGAUGCGGGCAAGAAAAUGACAUAAUGAAGAGUAAUCAGAUGACCUUUUGUGCUAGUCUUUUAUGUUGAUCAAGGCUACAUUUGUUCAAGCAAAAAUAGAGCCUAAAACAGUAAUAUUGUGAUUUUUUUUUUGUAAACAAUAAAACUGGGAAUAAGGUUAAACGUCCAGUGAUUGUAUGUGUUUUUUAUCAUGUAUGGAUUUGACACCUUUAAUUCAGAAAUGAUUAACCUUCCCCUGAUAUAAAUGCAUUUAUCACUGAACCUAGUUAUUUUAACCAAUAAAUAGAUAGUCUCACAACUAAUGUUACAAUUAAAGUAAUGUUACCAAGUGAAUGAUAAAAAAAUCUAAUGCAUGAGGACUGAACCUUCUGAUUUGUUUAAUUUUCACUAACAAGCAAGUGCAUGAAAUCAAGCAUGCAAUCUGCUUAAUCUUUUAACAAAAUACAAAAAAUACAAACAUCCAAAUUGAAAUGAUUUACUGAGGCAGGAACUUGACUGGCCUGCACAAACCUCAGACCUGAACCACUCCAUGGGCGUAGGUUUGGUCUCAGCUUUGGUGGGGACUGUGUGCUCCACUUAAGUCAGCUGUCUGUGUGGCUGAGAUGAUCAUGGACUCUGACACCCAUGCACUUGUAGGGCAAAAAUUAAUAAAUUAAAUUCAAUUAAAAACUACAUAAAAUAACUGUUGUAACUUAAAUUAGUAACAAUAGUAACUAUCAUAUUAUCAUACAAGCUUUUCCUUAUUUAAAUUUUUGUAGAAAUAAUAACAAAAUUACAAUAAAAAUGAAUUUUGCUCUUCUAAUGGAGAAAUGAUAUAAAGUAUUUUCCCAUUUUUUCUUAUGUUUAUAAAGGUGACAGUAACACAUUUUGAUAACACAAAUGGUCGUUUUUGCAGUCUUAAUUCAAUUUUAUGUAAAAAUGGUUGUCAGGACAAUCAAUGCGUCAAAAAAUAUUUUUAUCCAGCAUUGUUAAAUUUGUUAACGCAGACGACGACGAAAAAUAUUAGUUAACGAACAUUUUUUCUGUGACUAAGACAAGAUGUUGACGAGCUAAAAAUAAUAUCUGACGACGAAAUUAUGAUGAAAUUUAUGCCGCGUCUUCAACUACCGGACAUUAAAAAUGCAUCCUAUAGGCUAUUGUCCUUCAAAUGUGCAUCCCUGUCAUUGGAUUGCAAUCGGAUAAGAGCCGUUUGGAUAUAUCUAGUCAGUAUAGCAGCGGCAGUGGAUGUAUAGACUAAUAAAAUGUGAACUAGUGAUCUGAAACAAUGGCCUCAGCACCCUGGUUAAGGUAACCAGACUUCCUGUUUUUCCAGGAGUCACAAUUCGUUCUCGAUUAACUUAAAGUUAGUGAAAGGGGGACAGGUGGAAAACUAAUGCAUUGCUCUACUUUACAAAGUCUCUGCAUGCGCCCUUUCUUCUAAACAUUAUGUAAAAUGUUGUUAUCCGGUGAUCAUGUGAUUGCUCUGAUUGUAUUCACCUGUGGACACAUCAAAGGACUCGUUAAAAAGAGGUUUGUGACUUGUGGGGUUACGUUUUGCUGUCUCUCAGGGGCAAUAUAACCUCCGGAUGAAGAUAGACAGUUAAACAUUAUUAUGUGUGCAGUGUAGGUUGAUGUGAUAUUUUCAACAGGGGGCACCACUGUAUUAAUGUACUGAAGACUCUCUCUCUCUCUCUCUCUGUGUGUGUGUGUGUGUGUGUGUGUGUGUGUGUGUGUGUAGAUGAGUUGAGUUGGGGGUUGUGUGUUGUCCCAUGCCUUUUUCUUCUGUCCUUAUACACCUGUGCCUUUUUUUAAAAAGCUUUAUUUAUUCAAAUUAUUAUAAAGGAAGUGUUCUUUUCUUUGUUACAACGACUGGUUGUGUAGAGUUCUAUUUUGACGGACAUACAUUUCAAUAAGGUUCAUUACAAUUAUAUGAUUGCACUAAAUAAUGGUUGUUUUCUUCUAGUUGUAAAAAGCAUCGCAGCAGGCACACAACAUCAGAAGACGUUGACACUUCGUUAAAUUUCAGUUGCGACGUCAGGUGACCAAAAUUCAAUGUAAAUUCAGCGCCUAAUAUCAAUGUUAAAUUGAUGUCCAAUACCGAUGUCAGCUGACAUUGAUAUUUUGUUGUUUUUAGGUUGUGUAACCAAAAUUCAAUGUUAAGUCAACAUCAAAUACUGUAUUGACGUUAACCCGAUUUUCAUUUUCAACCAAAAUACAAAUUCUAUCUUAAGUCAUGUCCAACGUUAGACGUCCGGUGCCUGCUGGGAUGAGGCUACAUUUUGUUUCACAUUCAGAUUAUUAUAUCUCUCUCUGAAUGUUCUAGGGUUGUUCUUUCAAAAGCCUGUUUGGAACAGAAAUGCAGGGAAUGAGAAAAGUGCUACUUUCACUGAGAGUACAUGCUUUCACUUGAAAAUGUUGUCUUGGCAUCCAUUUUAUCCUAUAUACUUGUUUCUGGAAAGAAACAUUAUUUUUGUUUGGAAAGCAAAUUGCUGUGUCUCUCUUUGACCUUUUGACAUCACCUCAUACCAAUUUGGCAAAUUCAAUCCUAGUGUGAGCCCGGCUUUAGUUAAACAAUGGGAUUAUUUUGUUCUUAGCACGUGAAGCAGCAAAAUCUUAAAGAAAUCAAGAAUAUUGUCCUGCAUCCUUGGCCAAUCUUCUUUGUUGGCCCCCCUGUGCAGGGCCAUUGCUAGUGGGGUGAAAGGUGGUGAUAAUUAUAGGGGCCCACGGCUGAGGGGGGGCCCCGGCUAUCUGGACCGUCUGGCUGCGGCCAGUCUAAAAAAGACGCUCAGGAGAGUUGACAGAACGCUGCUGCAUGUCGUCACAAAAGCGAAUCAUUUUCACGUGUUAUUAAGCUUUGCCAAUUUAACCAUUCAAAAGACUUUAAAGCAUUCAAACACAAGACACGGAAAAGCUGAACUGAGUAGCUGGUUACUCGCGCGCUGUGCUCAGUGCGCAUGCAGAGAGCCGUGCCUUACAGACCACAACACUGAACUGAGCUCUCCUUUGCGAAGUUCUCCUUUAAGUUACUCCUACACCUGAACGAACAAAAACAAAAGCAAGAGAAAAGGAUGUAUAAGAGCCCAAUUCAGCACCGUGGUGUUCUGGUGUUCAGGGCUCACGCAGAGAGAGGCGUCUCAAAACACUUGAGCACCGAAUUUGUCUGUUUUUGCUCUUGUACCGACAAAUACAUAAAAAAUAUGUGAAAAUACCCAUCUUGGAUAGUAUGUUUGAAAAAAUUUUUUGGUUAUGUCAGAAAGUAAACAGUUGAGGAAAAAAAAUUGUAUGUGUAUUAUAUUGGAUGCAUUCAUUGUCUCUUAAAGUGACUAAACAUUACUGCUGCUGUAAUGUUAAUCCAAUGAAAAAAAAUGAAAAAAUUACAAAGAAAAAAAGAAUUUUUUUUUUUUUUUUUUUACUAGUAAGUGCAGGACACUAUUAAUUAAUGUAUGUAAGUGAGUAUAGCAAAAUAAGAGGGGCAGCUGUUGGACUUGUAACCCAGAGGUCGCAGGUUUGAGUCUCGGUGCUGGCAAGAGUUGUAGGUGGAGGGGAGUGAAUGAACUCUCUUCCACCCUCAGUACCCAUGGAUGAAGUGCCCUUGAGCAAGGCACUGAACCACCUGUUGCUCCCUGUGUGUGUGCACUUGGAUGGGUUAAAUGCAGAGCACCAAUUCUGAGUAUGGGUUACCAUACUUGGCAAAUGUCACAACAUAAGGCGAACUGUGACAUAUUAUACCCAAAAAAUGUUCAUAGAGUUUACUACUAGGAAAAUUAUAUAUAUAUUUGGGACCAAAAUUAUUCAGACAUUUUGACCAUGUUUUGCUUACGUUUUUUUCCCC
Molecule: long non-coding RNA, 4779 nt
Organism: Carassius auratus (goldfish)
Lineage: Eukaryota; Metazoa; Chordata; Actinopteri; Cypriniformes; Cyprinidae
Source: Ensembl